RNAcentral lists this ribosomal RNA (350 nucleotides) under uncultured Pseudomonadota bacterium. RNAcentral's name for it is "bacterial SSU rRNA". It matches the Rfam family "Bacterial small subunit ribosomal RNA", at positions 30 to 379 of the family's 1533-position model. Lineage: Bacteria; Pseudomonadati; Pseudomonadota. The record is from RNAcentral.
AUUGAACGCUGGCGGAAUGCUUUACACAUGCAAGUCGAACGGCAGCACGGACUUCGGUCUGGUGGCGAGUGGCGAACGGGUGAGUAACAUAUCGGAACGUAUCCAAUAAUGGGGGAUAACUAAUCGAAAGGUUGGCUAAUACCGCAUACGCCCUACGGGGGAAAGCUAGGGACCUUCGGGCCUGGCGUUAAUGGAGCGGCCGAUAUCUGAUUAGCUAGUUGGUGGGGUAAAGGCCCACCAAGGCGACGAUCAGUAGCUGGUCUGAGAGGACGACCAGCCACACUGGAACUGAGACACGGUCCAGACUCCUACGGGAGGCAGCCUGAGAGCCAAGGCACACAGGGGAUAGG